CAGCAGCCACGGGAAUACGUAGGGUGCGAGCGUUAAUCGGAAUUACUGGGCGUAAAGCGGGCGCAGACGGUUACUUAAGCAGGAUGUGAAAUCCCCGGGCUCAACCUGGGAACUGCGUUCUGAACUGGGUGACUAGAGUGUGUCAGAGGGAGGUAGAAUUCCACGUGUAGCAGUGAAAUGCGUAGAGAUGUGGAGGAAUACCGAUGGCGAAGGCAGCCUCCUGGGAUAACACUGACGUUCAUGCUCGAAAGCGUGGGUAGCAAACAGGAUUAGAUACCCCCGUAGUCCCUGUCUCUUAUAA
RNAcentral lists this ribosomal RNA (301 nucleotides) under uncultured bacterium. RNAcentral describes it as "partial 16S ribosomal RNA". It matches the Rfam family "Bacterial small subunit ribosomal RNA", at positions 509 to 809 of the family's 1533-position model. The record is from RNAcentral.